This 393-nucleotide ribosomal RNA is filed under the name uncultured bacterium. Its description in RNAcentral is "bacterial SSU rRNA". It matches the Rfam family "Bacterial small subunit ribosomal RNA", at positions 29 to 416 of the family's 1533-position model. The record is from RNAcentral.
AGUGAACGCUGGCGGCAGGCCUAACACAUGCAAGUCGAACGGCAGCACAGCAGUAGCAAUACUGUGGGUGGCGAGUGGCGGACGGGUGAGGAAUACAUCGGAAUCUGCCUAGUCGUGGGGGAUAACGUAGGGAAACUUACGCUAAUACCGCAUACGACCUACGGGUGAAAGCGGGGGAUCGCAAGACCUCGCGCGAUUAGAUGAGCCGAUGUCCGAUUAGCUAGUUGGCGGGGUAAUGGCCCACCAAGGCGACGAUCGGUAGCUGGUCUGAGAGGAUGAUCAGCCACACUGGAACUGAGACACGGUCCAGACUCCUACGGGAGGCAGCAGUGGGGAAUAUUGGACAAAUGGGCGCAAGCCUGAUCCAGCCAUGCCGCGUGGGUGAAGAAGGCC